RNAcentral lists this transfer-messenger RNA (168 nucleotides) under Enterobacter sp. RNAcentral's name for it is "partial transfer-messenger RNA". It matches the Rfam family "transfer-messenger RNA", at positions 1 to 174 of the family's 374-position model. Rfam says of the family: Bacterial tmRNA, also known as 10Sa RNA or SsrA, is named for its dual tRNA and mRNA-like properties. Its role is to liberate the mRNA from a stalled ribosome. Lineage: Bacteria; Pseudomonadati; Pseudomonadota; Gammaproteobacteria; Enterobacterales; Enterobacteriaceae. The record is from RNAcentral.
GGGGUUGAUUCUGGAUUCGACGGGAUUUGCGAAACCCAAGGUGCAUGCCGAGGGGCGGUUGGCCUCGUUAAAAGCCGCAAAAAAAUAGUCGCAAACGACGAAAACUACGCUUUAGCAGCUUAAUAACCUGCUCUGAGCCCUCUCUCCCUAGCUUCCGCUCUUAAGACG